UGGGGAAUAUUGCACAAUGGGGGAAACCCUGAUGCAGCGACGCCGCGUGAACGAAGAAGGUAUUCGUAUCGUAAAGUUCUGUCCUAUUGGAAGAUAAUGACAGUACCAUAGAAGAAAGCUCCGGCUAAAUACGUGCCAGCAGCCGCGGUAAUACGUAUGGAGCGAGCGUUGUCCGGAAUUAUUGGGCGUAAAGGGUACGCAGGCGGUUUAAUAAGUCGAAUGUUAAAGAUCGGGGCUCAACCCCGCAAAGCAUUGGAAACUGAUAAACUUGAGUAGUGGAGAGGAAAGUGGAAUUCCUAGUGUAGUGGUGAAAUACGUAGAUAUUAGGAGGAAUACCAGUAGCGAAGGCGACUUUCUGGACACAAACUGACGCUGAGGUACGAAAGCGUGGGGAGCAAACAGG
Molecule: ribosomal RNA, 403 nt
Filed under: bacterium
Lineage: Bacteria
Description: partial 16S ribosomal RNA
Rfam family: Bacterial small subunit ribosomal RNA
Source: RNAcentral